Molecule: non-coding RNA, 105 nt
Organism: Podarcis lilfordi (Lilford's wall lizard)
Lineage: Eukaryota; Metazoa; Chordata; Lepidosauria; Squamata; Lacertidae
Source: the annotation of a GenBank genome assembly
UACGUUUGUUCUGGGUAUAAGCUUUUGUGUGCAUGCACACGAAAGCUUGCAUGCUUUCUGAAGAAGUGUGCAUGCACACAAAAGCUUAUACCCAGAACAAACGUA